GAUGAACGCUGGCGGCGUGCCUAAUACAUGCAAGUCGAGCGAACGGACGAGAAGCUUGCUUCUCUGAUGUUAGCGGCGGACGGGCGAGUAACACGUGGAUAACCUACCUAUAAGACUGGGAUAACUUCGGGAAACCGGAGCUAAUACCGGAUAAUAUUUUGAACCGCAUGGUUCAAAAGUGAAAGACGGUCUUGCUGUCACUUAUAGAUGGAUCCGCGCUGCAUUAGCUAGUUGGUAAGGUAACGGCUUACCAAGGCAACGAUGCAUAGCCGACCUGAGAGGGUGAUCGGCCACACUGGAACUGAGACACGGUCCAGACUCCUACGGGAGGCAGCAGUAGGGAAUCUUCCGCAAUGGGCGAAAGCCUGACGGAGCAACGCCGCGUGAGUGAUGAAGGUCUUCGGAUCGUAAAGCUCUGUUAUUGGGGAAGAACAUAUGUGGAAGUAACUGUGCACAUCUUGACGGUACCUAAUCAGAAAGCAACGGCUAACUACGUG
Molecule: ribosomal RNA, 497 nt
Filed under: uncultured bacterium
Lineage: Bacteria
Description: partial 16S ribosomal RNA
Rfam family: Bacterial small subunit ribosomal RNA
Source: RNAcentral